ACUCCUACGGGAGGCAGCAGUGGGGAAUAUUGGAUGCAAUGGGCGCAAGCCUGAUCCAGCAAUGCCGCGUGUGUGAAGAAGGCCUUCGGGUUGUAAAGCACUUUCAUCAGGAGGACGAUAGUGUUGCCGGCUAAUACCCGGUGGGAACUGACGGUACCUGAGGAAUAAGCACCGGCUAACUUCGUGCCAGCAGCCGCGGUAAUA
RNAcentral lists this ribosomal RNA (204 nucleotides) under uncultured bacterium. Its description in RNAcentral is "partial 16S ribosomal RNA". It matches the Rfam family "Bacterial small subunit ribosomal RNA", at positions 335 to 525 of the family's 1533-position model. The record is from RNAcentral.